Long non-coding RNA from Sinocyclocheilus grahami, 757 nucleotides. RefSeq lists it as uncharacterized. The record is from RefSeq and is a predicted model, not a curated record. Lineage: Eukaryota; Metazoa; Chordata; Actinopteri; Cypriniformes; Cyprinidae. The transcript has 2 exons.
UUUUUGUAAAUAUAUAAAUUUUUUAUAAAAAAAAAAAAAGCAUUUUCUGUUAGUCUAUUAAUAGGUAGUUUGUUUAUGAUUUAACAUUUAUUUUUAAAAAUGCUUCCUAAAAGGUUUUUUUUUUUUAAUGAAUGCAAAAUGCGUUUUUGUAUUUAUUUUGUAAUAAAUAACCUAACCCUUCUCUUAUAAAAGAGCAAUUUAUUCAAUCCAAAAUGAAUGUUUAUUGGCAAACAUGUUGAAGAUUAGCCGACAGGCUGUCGAGUCAUUGUUGUGAGAUGUUUCCUCACAAGUUUAUUCAGCGUACGCCGAAAUCGAGAUAAGCAUCUAUCUAUCGACAACAAAAUCUCCUACUUCCAUUCACGGCAUCCAAAGGUGUUGAGGUUUUUUUUUUUUUGCUAACAUUGAAGGGUCCUUGAAGCGCCUCUGAUAAAAUCCACCUGCAGCAGAGCCAUAAAUCACAGCUAGAGGUGGGAUUGAGGACUCUUCUGCAACCUCAAAUGACAAAUGGGACACAGUCUCAUGAACUUUUAAUGCAUGCGAGCUUUGCUGUUCACAUCAAUUGUUGCAUUUGUGACAGGGCCUCAUGUUUCUCUGCUUGUGUGUACAUAGGCCUAAGACUGAAAGAAUGGGAGAGAAUGCCCUCUGCUGUUGAAGAAAAUGUUUGUAUAUGUUUGGUAUUUGGGGUAUUUAUACAGUUUAUAGCUAUUAAGUGUUUAUAGGUUUUUUUUUUAGUAUCUAUUAAAGUAUGACGGCAUCA